This 253-nucleotide ribosomal RNA is filed under the name uncultured bacterium. Its description in RNAcentral is "partial 16S ribosomal RNA". It matches the Rfam family "Bacterial small subunit ribosomal RNA", at positions 524 to 776 of the family's 1533-position model. The record is from RNAcentral.
UACAGAGGGUGCAAGCGUUAUUCGGAAUUACUGGGCGUAAAGGGCGCGUAGGUGGUUUGUUAAGUUGGAUGUGAAAUCCCCGGGCUCAACCUGGGAACUGCAUUCAAAACUGACAAGCUAGAGUAUGGUAGAGGGUGGUGGAAUUUCCUGUGUAGCGGUGAAAUGCGUAGAUAUAGGAAGGAACACCAGUGGCGAAGGCGACCACCUGGACUGAUACUGACACUGAGGUGCGAAAGCGUGGGGAGCAAACAGG